Molecule: ribosomal RNA, 591 nt
Filed under: uncultured bacterium
Lineage: Bacteria
Description: bacterial SSU rRNA
Rfam family: Bacterial small subunit ribosomal RNA
Source: RNAcentral
UUCGCCCUUAGAGUUUGAUCCUGGCUCAGAACGAACGCUGGCGGCAUGCCUAACACAUGCAAGUCGAACGAGACCUUCGGGUCUAGUGGCGCACGGGUGCGUAACGCGUGGGAAUCUGCCCUUUGCUUCAAGAAUAACAGUUACAAAUGACUGCUAAUACCGGAUGAUGUCAUCGGACCAAAGAUUUAUCGGAAAAGGAUGAGCCCGCGAACGAUUAGGUAGUUGGUGGGAUAAAGGCCUACCAAGCCGACCAUCCUUAGCUGGUCUGAUAGGAUGAUCACCCACACUGGGACUGAUACACCGCCCACACUCCUACAGGAGGCAGCAGUGGGGAAUAUUGGACAAUGGGCUAAAGCCUGAUCCAACAAAGCCUCAUGAGUGAUGAACGUCUUCCGGUCAUACAGCUCUUUUACGAUGGAUGAUAAUGACAGUACCUGGAGAAUAAACUCCUGCUAACUCCAUGCAAGCAGGCCCGGUAAUACGGACGGAGCUAGCUGAUGUUCCGAAUUAAUGAGCGUAAGAACUACGGAUGCGGAUAUUCUAGUCACACGUGAAAGCUCGGGGCUCAACCGCUCAACUGCCGUUGAUACU